This 254-nucleotide ribosomal RNA is filed under the name uncultured bacterium. RNAcentral's name for it is "partial 16S ribosomal RNA". It matches the Rfam family "Bacterial small subunit ribosomal RNA", at positions 524 to 776 of the family's 1533-position model. The record is from RNAcentral.
UACGUAGGGACCAAGCGUUGUUCGGAUUUACUGGGCGUAAAGGGCGCGUAGGCGGCAAUUCAAGUCAGCUGUGAAAUCUCCGGGCUUAACUCGGAACGGUCAGCUGAUACUGCUUUGCUAGAGUGCGGAAGGGGCAAUCGGAAUUCUCGGUGUAGCGGUGAAAUGCGUAGAUAUCGAGAGGAACACCUGAGGUGAAGACGGGUUGCUGGGCCGACACUGACGCUGGAGGCGCGAAAGCUAGGGGAGCAAACAGG